This is a long non-coding RNA of Equus caballus (horse), 2165 nucleotides long. The record is from Ensembl. NCBI's taxonomy places the organism in Eukaryota, Metazoa, Chordata, Mammalia, Perissodactyla, Equidae.
GCUAACAUGAAAAAGACCUGACUUCCCUUUCUUCCUUUAAGUUGAAUCAAGUGAACUUUCAGGCAGGCACCAGGGUAAAGCCUGCCUGCCAAUUCUUUGUAAACAGUGAGGCUUCCUGCAGUGUUAUGGGCUGUCGGGGGAGAAGGCAUUGUGAACUAGCACCCAUUGUGACGGUCUACAAGGUGAGAAGUCGAUUAUCCCACCUAGGGUGCCAGGAGCAGGAGUGAAAGGUCAGACACAGGGCCAGGAAUAAUUGCCUGACACAGGGACAGUCCGCAGGGAAUACCAGGAGCCCCCUGGGCAAGAGCUAUGCACGAGCAGAAGCAGCAGGCCCUGGGACUCUCUGCACCCCCUUCAACCCUACCUGCCAAGGCCAGCUCCAGCUUCCACAUCUCUUAGACUGUCAUCUAAGAAAGAACUGCCCAGCCAGCAGAGCCUGCAAAUCCUGGGAAGUGGCAGAGGGAGAGGCUAAGAGAGCAAAGCCAGCCCGGGGAAGGAGCCUCACCAGUGGCAGGCAGUGAGGAGCAGAGGGUGGAUGCAGGAUCUUGGAGCAAAUGGUCCUGGAGACCUUGCCUAAUAAGUGCCCUUGAGAGAUGCCCCCUCCAGCGUCCUCUUGGGGCAGUGGGGGCAGCUUCCAAAGACUGUUCAGGGCCCAUUCCACAGGCCUCUGACAUCCUGGCUAGGCUCUUGUCUCAGGCCAGUAGAGUCUGGAGGGCUGGAGAUCAGCCCCCACCCCUUUGAUAUAUGGGGAAACUGAGGCCCAGGGCUGUGAGAUUCCAAAUGGAGUGGUCUGGAGAGCAGGGGUCACUGAGAGGGCAGUAUUAGGAGGACGAGGUAGCAGGAGGGCAGCCAGGGCCUCUGAGCUACUCCCCCAGGCCUCUUGGCCACAGGGCUCCCCCAUCCCUACCCAACUCAACCUUUGUCUGAUUUGCUCCCUGUGACAGCUGGGGAGGCUGGGCCUCGCCCUGGCUCCUGCCAUCAGCCAUCUCUGUGUGGCACUAAAGAUGUGUGCGGGAGCCAGGCCUCGGCAGCAAGCUUGGCAGGCAGCUCGGCGUUGCCUGGGAGACCACAGAGGAGGAAAGCUGCUCCACACGGCUACCGAGGGCCAGAUGGCUCGUGGCUCCAGAGAUGCCUCUCCCAGGGGCCACAACCUCAUAUACACCUUGCAGGGGUGUCUCCCAGACACCCAUAAGGCAGAUGGGAAAACUGAGGUGCCAAGGAGUGGAAGGUCUGACUUGUUGACACACUGAGGGUCGGUGGCGAGGAACCAAGGACAGACGCAGAGGCCCUGCCUCCCAGCCCUGGGCUCUGCUGACCUCCUGGACCUGCAACUCAGGAACACACAGCCAGGGGGCGUGCUGGUCGCCAUGGCCAGGUCUCCCAACCCUGCCCCUCUGGAAAGACCUGAGGCUCUGUUAAAGGCCGCUACUAAACCUCGCUCUCUGGAGCAGCGGGAUGUGUAGCCACAGAGUCUGAGGAAAACUCCCAGCUCUGGAUGCAUGCACUGCAAGUGAAUAAGACAACACUGAGAGUUGGAAGCUGGGCUCUUGGCUGGGGUGCCAUCAAGGAGCCAGAACAGGGUGCUGAGAUUGGGUGGCUGUGCCUUGGAGUUGGGGAAGUCCACCGUCUUCCUUCCACACAAGAGGAAAUCGAAGUGUGUGUUGGGUGGGGGGAGAGUGUCAGUCGUUCAGAAAGGCUGCCUGGCCCGGUUCCCCUCCUCAAAGCUGGGAGAAGCAGCUCGCCCGGCCGGCCGGCCGGCCGUGUUCAGUACGCAAGCCUUCCAGCCAAGUGCUUAGAAAUGCUGAGCAGGACAGCCCUGGGUGCUGACCCCGGAGGAGAAGAGGAGCUCACCUCUGGCCUGCCCUCGGGGACCCCCAAGGCUGAGCUGUUGGAAUCCAAUCAGCAGUCAGGAAGAUGGAGCUCUUUGGGCAGCUGGGAGGCCCCAGGCUGGAAUGCAGGAACCUGGGUUCAUGUCCCUGGCUUGGCCACAAACAGCCUUACCCGACCCCAUGCUGUGACUUGGAAGCCCCACGACCUCCUGCCAGCUUCAUGCCUCACUGCACCUGCCUCUGCUGCAUGGGACACCUAUGACCAUGCCCCUCGGCUUCCUUGACCCAACCAUCAUCACCCGUCCUCGGCCUCCCAUUAAAUGAUGGUGGUCCCCA